CUGGCGGGGUGCCUAUACAUGCAAGUCGAGCGAACAGAUAAGGAGCUUGCUCCUUUGACGUUAGCGGCGGACGGGUGAGUAACACGUGGGUAACCUACCUAUAAGACUGGGAUAACUUCGGGAAACCGGAGCUAAUACCGGAUAACAUUUGGAACCGCAUGGUUCUAAAGUGAAAGAUGGUUUUGCUAUCACUUAUAGAUGGACCCGCGCCGUAUUAGCUAGUUGGUAAGGUAACGGCUUACCAAGGCGACGAUACGUAGCCGACCUGAGAGGGUGAUCGGCCACACUGGAACUGAGACACGGUCCAGACUCCUACGGGAGGCAGCAGUAGGGAAUCUUCCGCAAUGGGCGAAAGCCUGACGGAGCAACGCCGCGUGAGUGAUGAAGGGUUUCGGCUCGUAAAACUCUGUUAUUAGGGAAGAACAAAUGUGUAAGUAACUGUGCACAUCUUGACGGUACCUAAUCAGAAAGCCACGGCUAACUACGUGCCAGCAGCCGCGGUAAUACGUAGGUGGCAAGCGUUAUCCGGAAUUAUUGGGCGUAAAGCGCGCGUAGGCGGUUUCUUAAGUCUGAUGUGAAAGCCCACGGCUCAACCGUGGAGGGUCAUUGGAAACUGGGAAACUUGAGUGCAGAAGAGGAAAGUGGAAUUCCAUGUGUAGCGGUGAAAUGCGCAGAGAUAUGGAGGAACACCAGUGGCGAAGGCGACUUUCUGGUCUGUAACUGACGCUGAUGUGCGAAAGCGUGGGGAUCAAACAGGAUUAGAUACCCUGGUAGUCCACGCCGUAAACGAUGAGUGCUAAGUGUUAGGGGGUUUCCGCCCCUUAGUGCUGCAGCUAACGCAUUAAGCACUCCGCCUGGGGAGUACGACCGCAAGGUUGAAACUCAAAGGAAUUGACGGGGACCCGCACAAGCGGUGGAGCAUGUGGUUUAAUUCGAAGCAACGCGAAGAACCUUACCAAAUCUUGACAUCCUUUGAAAACUCUAGAGAUAGAGCCUUCCCCUUCGGGGGACAAAGUGACAGGUGGUGCAUGGUUGUCGUCAGCUCGUGUCGUGAGAUGUUGGGUUAAGUCCCGCAACGAGCGCAACCCUUAAGCUUAGUUGCCAUCAUUAAGUUGGGCACUCUAAGUUGACUGCCGGUGACAAACCGGAGGAAGGUGGGGAUGACGUCAAAUCAUCAUGCCCCUUAUGAUUUGGGCUACACACGUGCUACAAUGGACAAUACAAAGGGCAGCUAAACCGCGAGGUCAUGCAAAUCCCAUAAAGUUGUUCUCAGUUCGGAUUGUAGUCUGCAACUCGACUACAUGAAGCUGGAAUCGCUAGUAAUCGUAGAUCAGCAUGCUACGGUGAAUACGUUCCCGGGUCUUGUACACACCGCCCGUCACACCACGAGAGUUUGUAACACCCGAAGCCGGUGGAGUAACCAUUUAUGGAGCUAGCCGUCGAAGGGGACCAAA
Molecule: ribosomal RNA, 1454 nt
Filed under: Staphylococcus sp.
Lineage: Bacteria; Bacillati; Bacillota; Bacilli; Caryophanales; Staphylococcaceae
Description: bacterial SSU rRNA
Rfam family: Bacterial small subunit ribosomal RNA
Source: RNAcentral